Molecule: long non-coding RNA, 545 nt
Filed under: Homo sapiens (human)
Lineage: Eukaryota; Metazoa; Chordata; Mammalia; Primates; Hominidae
Description: HSALNT0021886
Source: RNAcentral
GGUCUAUCAGCCAUAUUCCCAGACACUUGCUGUAAUUGUUUGAAAGUCUGUCUCCUCGUACAGGCUCUGCAGGAUGUGUGCGUCUCACAUGGAAGCCUCAGGACCUGUCUUUGAAUGAAUUCGUGAGGAAAUGGAAAACUUCUCUCUACUGCUCCUGUAAAUGCAGAAUAAGCUACAUUUUUUUUCACACCCAUUGCAACUCGCUUGGAACAUUUACCCCUGUGGAGCUGAGACAACAAGGAGUCCAGCCCAUAGGGAGAAGAUAUGUGGAGAACCAAGGUGUUCUAGUCAACAGUCCCAGAUGAACUGCCAGGUGACAGUCAGAACCAGCCACCAGUCAUAUGAGUGGGCCAUCAUGAGUGCUCCAGCCUACUCAGAUCCCCAGAUGACUGUAGCCCAGCUCCCACCUCCAGAUGAACCACCCUGCUGAGCCCCAUCAACUCUCAGAAUCAUGAGAAAUAAUAAACCAUUGUUAUUUCAAGCUGCUAGGUUCUAGAGUGAUUUUUUCCCCUGCAACCUAAGAGUAUAGAGACUCAAGAUGCCCU